RNAcentral lists this ribosomal RNA (432 nucleotides) under uncultured bacterium. RNAcentral describes it as "partial 16S ribosomal RNA". It matches the Rfam family "Bacterial small subunit ribosomal RNA", at positions 29 to 506 of the family's 1533-position model. The record is from RNAcentral.
AACGAACGCUGGCGGCAUGCCUAACACAUGUAAGUCGAACGAGACCUUCGGGUCUAGUGGCGCACGGGUGCGUAACGCGUGGGAACCUGCCCUUAGGUUCGGAAUAACUCCCCGAAAGGGGUGCUAAUACCGGAUAAUGUCUUCGGACCAAAGAUUUAUCGCCUUUGGAUGGGCCCGCGUUGGAUUAGCUAGUUGGUAGGGUAAAAGCCUACCAAGGCGACGAUCCAUAGCCGGUCUGAGAGGAUGAUCAGCCACACUGGGACUGAGACACGGCCCAGACUCCUACGGGAGGCAGCAGUGGGGAAUAUUGGACAAUGGGCGAAAGCCUGAUCCAGCAAUGCCGCGUGAGUGAUGAAGGCCUUAGGGUUGUAAAGCUCUUUUACCCGGGAUGAUAAUGACAGUACCGGGAGAAUAAGCUCCGGCUAACUCCGU